This 491-nucleotide ribosomal RNA is filed under the name uncultured bacterium. RNAcentral's name for it is "partial 16S ribosomal RNA". It matches the Rfam family "Bacterial small subunit ribosomal RNA", at positions 29 to 506 of the family's 1533-position model. The record is from RNAcentral.
AGUGAACGCUGGCGGUAGGCCUAACACAUGCAAGUCGUACGGCAGCACAGUAAGAGCUUGCUCUUACGGGUGGCGAGUGGCGGACGGGUGAGGAAUACAUCGGAAUCUACUUUUUCGUGGGGGAUAACGUAGGGAAACUUACGCUAAUACCGCAUACGACCUACGGGUGAAAGCAGGGGAUCUUCGGACCUUGCGCGAUUGAAUGAGCCGAUGUCGGAUUAGCUAGUUGGCGGGGUAAAGGCCCACCAAGGCGACGAUCCGUAGCUGGUCUGAGAGGAUGAUCAGCCACACUGGAACUGAGACACGGUCCAGACUCCUACGGGAGGCAGCAGUGGGGAAUAUUGGACAAUGGGCGCAAGCCUGAUCCAGCCAUACCGCGUGGGUGAAGAAGGCCUUCGGGUUGUAAAGCCCUUUUGUUGGGAAAGAAAAGCAGCAGGUUAAUACCCCGCUGUUCUGACGGUACCCAAAGAAUAAGCACCGGCUAACUUCGU